CUCAGUAACACGUAGUCAACCUGCCCUAGAGACGCUGACAACCCCGGGAAACUGGGACUAAUCGGCGGUAGGUCACCUCAUCUGGAAGGAGAGAUGGCUCAAAGGGGUCUUGCGAGCUUCUUUCGCAUGAUCCGCUCUAGGAUGGGACUGCGGCCGAUCAGGCUGUUGGCGGGGUAAUGGCCCACCAAACCUGUAACCGGUACGGGCUUUGAGAGAAGGGGCCCGGAGAUGGACACUGAGACAAGGGUCCAGGUCCUACGGGGCGCAGCAGGCGCGAAACCUUCGCAAUGCGCGAAAGCGUGACGAGGUUAGUCCGAGUGGCCUCCGCUGAGGAGGUCUUUUGUCGGCUGUAAAAAGGCCGGCGAAUAAGGGGAGGGCAAGUCUGGUGUCAGCCGCCGCGGUAAUACCAGCUCCUCGAGUGGUCGGGGCGAUUAUUGGGCCUAAAGCAUCCGUAGCUUGUUCCGUAGGUCUCCUGGUAAAUCCAACUGCUCAACGGUUGGCCUCCAGGAGAUACCGCGGGACUAGGAGGCGGGAGAGGUGGACGGUACUCCACGUGUAGGGGUAAAAUCCUUUGAUCCGUGGAAGA
Molecule: ribosomal RNA, 586 nt
Filed under: uncultured archaeon
Lineage: Archaea
Description: bacterial SSU rRNA
Rfam family: Archaeal small subunit ribosomal RNA
Source: RNAcentral